RNAcentral lists this ribosomal RNA (476 nucleotides) under uncultured bacterium. RNAcentral's name for it is "bacterial SSU rRNA". It matches the Rfam family "Bacterial small subunit ribosomal RNA", at positions 28 to 496 of the family's 1533-position model. The record is from RNAcentral.
GAUGAACGCUAGCGGCAGGCUUAAUACAUGCAAGUCGAGGGGUAGCAAGAUUGUAGCAAUACAAUUGUUGACGACCGGCAAACGGGUGCGGAACACGUACACAACCUUCCUACAAGUGGGGAAUAGCCCAGAGAAAUUUGGAUUAAUACCCCGUAACAUAGCGAUGUGGCAUCACAUUGCUAUUAUAGCUUCGGCGCUUGUUGAUGGGUGUGCGGCUGAUUAGAUAGUUGGCGGGGUAACGGCCCACCAAGUCUACGAUCAGUAGCUGAUGUGAGAGCAUGAUCAGCCACACGGGCACUGAGACACGGGCCCGACUCCUACGGGAGGCAGCAGUAAGGAAUAUUGGUCAAUGGGCGCAAGCCUGAACCAGCCAUCCUGCGUGCAGGAAGAAGGCCCUAUGGGUUGUAAACUGCUUUUGUCAGGGAUAAACCUGUGGAUUUAUCCGCAGCUGAAGGUACCUGAAGAAUAAGCACCGG